GGCCGCCUGGCGAAAUGGCAUCGCGUCUGACUACGACUGUGUAAUCAGGAGAUUGCAGGUUCGACCCCUGCGGUGGUCA
Non-coding RNA from Suillus hirtellus, 79 nucleotides. NCBI's taxonomy places the organism in Eukaryota, Fungi, Basidiomycota, Agaricomycetes, Boletales, Suillaceae. The record is from the annotation of a GenBank genome assembly.